Molecule: signal recognition particle RNA, 299 nt
Filed under: Saimiri boliviensis boliviensis (Bolivian squirrel monkey)
Lineage: Eukaryota; Metazoa; Chordata; Mammalia; Primates; Cebidae
Description: Metazoan signal recognition particle RNA (ENSSBOG00000007877.1)
Rfam family: Metazoan signal recognition particle RNA
About the family: The signal recognition particle (SRP) is a universally conserved ribonucleoprotein.
Source: RNAcentral
GCCUGGUGCGGUGGUGCGUGCCUGUAGUCCCAGCUACUUGGGAGGAUGAGGUGGGAGGAUCACUGGAGCGCAGGAGUUCUGGGCUGCAGUGCUCUAUGCCUAUAGGGUGUCCGCACUAAGUUCGGCAUCCAUAUGGUGACCUCCUGGGAGCGGGAGACUGCCAGGUUGCCUAACGAGGGGUGAACUGGCCGAGGUUGGAAAUGGAGCAGGUCAAAACUCCCGUGCUGAUGAGUAGUGGAAUCACACCUGUGAAUAGCCACUGCACUCCAGCAUGGGCAACAUAGUGAGACCCCGUCUCA